UACGGGGGGAGCAAGCGUUGUUCGGAUUUACUGGGCGUAAAGGGCGCGUAGGCGGUCGUGACAAGUCACUUGUGAAAUCUCCGGGCUUAACUCGGAACGGUCAAGUGAUACUGUCGGACUAGAGUACAGAAGGGGCAACUGGAAUUCUCGGUGUAGCGGUGAAAUGCGUAGAGAUCAGGAAGAACAUCGGUGGCGAAGGCGCUCUGCUGGACCAUAACUGACACUCAGGGACGAAAGCUAGGGGAGCGAAUGGG
RNAcentral lists this ribosomal RNA (254 nucleotides) under uncultured bacterium. RNAcentral's name for it is "partial 16S ribosomal RNA". It matches the Rfam family "Bacterial small subunit ribosomal RNA", at positions 524 to 776 of the family's 1533-position model. The record is from RNAcentral.